Molecule: transfer RNA, 72 nt
Filed under: Bos taurus (domestic cattle)
Lineage: Eukaryota; Metazoa; Chordata; Mammalia; Artiodactyla; Bovidae
Also listed under: 1 other name
Rfam family: tRNA
About the family: Transfer RNA (tRNA) molecules are approximately 80 nucleotides in length. Their secondary structure includes four short double-helical elements and three loops (D, anti-codon, and T loops).
Source: Rfam by way of RNAcentral
UCCCUGGUGGCUCAGAUGAUAAAGAAUCUUCCUGCAAUGUAGGAGACCUGGGUUUGAACCCUGGCUAGGGAA